This 497-nucleotide ribosomal RNA is filed under the name uncultured bacterium. RNAcentral describes it as "partial 16S ribosomal RNA". It matches the Rfam family "Bacterial small subunit ribosomal RNA", at positions 28 to 507 of the family's 1533-position model. The record is from RNAcentral.
GAUGAACGCUGGCGGCGUGCCUAAUACAUGCAAGUCGAGCGAACAGACGAGGAGCUUGCUCCUCUGACGUUAGCGGCGGACGGGUGAGUAACACGUGGAUAACCUACCUAUAAGACUGGGAUAACUUCGGGAAACCGGAGCUAAUACCGGAUAAUAUAUUGAACCGCAUGGUUCAAUAGUGAAAGACGGUUUUGCUGUCACUUAUAGAUGGAUCCGCGCCGCAUUAGCUAGUUGGUAAGGUAACGGCUUACCAAGGCAACGAUGCGUAGCCGACCUGAGAGGGUGAUAGGCCACACUGGAACUGAGACACGGUCCAGACUCCUACGGGAGGCAGCAGUAGGGAAUCUUCCGCAAUGGGCGAAAGCCUGACGGAGCAACGCCGCGUGAGUGAUGAAGGUCUUCGGAUCGUAAAACUCUGUUAUUAGGGGAGAACAAAUGUGUAAGUAACUAUGCACGUCUUGACGGUACCUAAUCAGAAAGCCACGGCUAACUACGUG